Molecule: ribosomal RNA, 497 nt
Filed under: uncultured bacterium
Lineage: Bacteria
Description: partial 16S ribosomal RNA
Rfam family: Bacterial small subunit ribosomal RNA
Source: RNAcentral
GACGAACGCUGGCGGCGUGCCUAAUACAUGCAAGUAGAACGCUGAAGAGAGGAGCUUACUCUUCUUGGAUGAGUUGCGAACGGGUGAGUAACGCGUAGGUAACCUGCCUUGUAGCGGGGGAUAACUAUUGGAAACGAUAGCUAAUACUGCAUAACAAUGGAUGACACAUGUCAUUUAUUUGAAAGGGGCAAUUGCUCCACUACAAGAUGGACCUGCGUUGUAUUAGCUAGUAGGUGAGGUAAUGGCUCACCUAGGCGACGAUACAUAGCCGACCUGAGAGGGUGAUCGGCCACACUGGGACUGAGACACGGCCCAGACUCCUACGGGAGGCAGCAGUAGGGAAUCUUCGGCAAUAGGGGCAACCCUGACCGAGCAACGCCGCGUGAGUGAAGAAGGUUUUCGGAUCGUAAAGCUCUGUUGUAAGUCAAGAACGGGUGUGAGAGUGGAAAGUUCACACUGUGACGGUAGCUUACCAGAAAGGGACGGCUAACUACGUG